Molecule: long non-coding RNA, 253 nt
Filed under: Monodelphis domestica (gray short-tailed opossum)
Lineage: Eukaryota; Metazoa; Chordata; Mammalia; Didelphimorphia; Didelphidae
Description: lncRNA (ENSMODG00000040292.1)
Source: RNAcentral
AGUAACACUGGGAAAAGACAACUGACCCAGGGAAUAGAAGGGAGAACACUGAUCUUCCACAGUGCUCACAAGAUCCAGCUCUAGGAAGCAAAUGACUGAGGCAAGAAGAAUGUUUAAAAUGACGGAGGAGAGAAAUGAUCAGUGGAAUCCUGCCAAAGCAGAAGAAAGAAUGUCAGAGCAAGAAGAGAUCCUAAAGCUUCUCCACAGCUUUAGCUGCUACAUUUUCCAAAGGGCACUGAAAGCAGUUCAAUAG